CGUCACACUAUCAUUAACUGAAUCCAUAGGUUAAUGAGGCGAACCGGGGGAACUGAAACAUCUAAGUACCCCGAGGAAAAGAAAUCAACCGAGAUUCCCCCAGUAGCGGCGAGCGAACGGGGAGGAGCCCAGAGCCUGAAUCAGUGUGUGUGUUAGUGGAAGCGUCUGGAAAGGCGUGCGAUACAGGGUGACAGCCCCGUACACAAAAAUGCACAUGCUGUGAGCUCGAUGAGUAGGGCGGGACACGUGGUAUCCUGUCUGAAUAUGGGGGGACCAUCCUCCAAGGCUAAAUACUCCUGACUGACCGAUAGUGAACCAGUACCGUGAGGGAAAGGCGAAAAGAACCCCGGCGAGGGGAGUGAAAAAGAACCUGAAACCGUGUACGUACAAGCAGUGGGAGCCUCUUUAUGGGGUGACUGCGUACCUUUUGUAUAAUGGGUCAGCGACUUAUAUUCUGUAGCAAGGUUAACCGAAUAGGGGAGCCGAAGGGAAACCGAGUCUUAACUGGGCGUUAAGUUGCAGGGUAUAGACCCGAAACCCGGUGAUCUAGCCAUGGGCAGGUUGAAGGUUGGGUAACACUAACUGGAGGACCGAACCGACUAAUGUUGAAAAAUUAGCGGAUGACUUGUGGCUGGGGGUGAAAGGCCAAUCAAACCGGGAGAUAGCUGGUUCUCCCCGAAAGCUAUUUAGGUAGCGCCUCGUGAAUUCAUCUCCGGGGGUAGAGCACUGUUUCGGCAAGGGGGUCAUCCCGACUUACCAACCCGAUGCAAACUGCGAAUACCGGAGAAUGUUAUCACGGGAGACACACGGCGGGUGCUAACGUCCGUCGUGAAGAGGGAAACAACCCAGACCGCCAGCUAAGGUCCCAAAGUCAUGGUUAAGUGGGAAACGAUGUGGGAAGGCCCAGACAGCCAGGAUGUUGGCUUAGAAGCAGCCAUCAUUUAAAGAAAGCGUAAUAGCUCACUGGUCGAGUCGGCCUGCGCGGAAGAUGUAACGGGGCUAAACCAUGCACCGAAGCUGCGGCAGCGACACUAUGUGUUGUUGGGUAGGGGAGCGUUCUGUAAGCCGUUGAAGGUGUGCUGUGAGGCAUGCUGGAGGUAUCAGAAGUGCGAAUGCUGACAUAAGUAACGAUAAAGCGGGUGAAAAGCCCGCUCGCCGGAAGACCAAGGGUUCCUGUCCAACGUUAAUCGGGGCAGGGUGAGUCGACCCCUAAGGCGAGGCCGAAAGGCGUAGUCGAUGGGAAACAGGUUAAUAUUCCUGUACUUGGUGUUACUGCGAAGGGGGGACGGAGAAGGCUAUGUUGGCCGGGCGACGGUUGUCCCGGUUUAAGCGUGUAGGCUGAUUUUCCAGGCAAAUCCGGAGAAUCAAGGCUGAGGCGUGAUGACGAGGCACUACGGUGCUGAAGCAACAAAUGCCCUGCUUCCAGGAAAAGCCUCUAAGCAUCAGGUAACAUCAAAUCGUACCCCAAACCGACACAGGUGGUCAGGUAGAGAAUACCAAGGCGCUUGAGAGAACUCGGGUGAAGGAACUAGGCAAAAUGGUGCCGUAACUUCGGGAGAAGGCACGCUGAUGGUAGGUGAAGCGACUUGCUCGUGGAGCUGAAAUCAGUCGAAGAUACCAGCUGGCUGCAACUGUUUAUUAAAAACACAGCACUGUGCAAACACGAAAGUGGACGUAUACGGUGUGACGCCUGCCCGGUGCCGGAAGGUUAAUUGAUGGGGUCAGCCGCAAGGCGAAGCUCUUGAUCGAAGCCCCGGUAAACGGCGGCCGUAACUAUAACGGUCCUAAGGUAGCGAAAUUCCUUGUCGGGUAAGUUCCGACCUGCACGAAUGGCGUAAUGAUGGCCAGGCUGUCUCCACCCGAGACUCAGUGAAAUUGAACUCGCUGUGAAGAUGCAGUGUACCCGCGGCAAGACGGAAAGACCCCGUGAACCUUUACUAUAGCUUGACACUGAACAUUGAGCCUUGAUGUGUAGGAUAGGUGGGAGGCUUUGAAGUGUGGACGCCAGUCUGCAUGGAGCCGACCUUGAAAUACCACCCUUUAAUGUUUGAUGUUCUAACGUGGACCCGUGAUCCGGGUUGCGGACAGUGUCUGGUGGGUAGUUUGACUGGGGCGGUCUCCUCCUAAAGAGUAACGGAGGAGCACGAAGGUUGGCUAAUCCUGGUCGGACAUCAGGAGGUUAGUGCAAUGGCAUAAGCCAGCUUGACUGCGAGCGUGACGGCGCGAGCAGGUGCGAAAGCAGGUCAUAGUGAUCCGGUGGUUCUGAAUGGAAGGGCCAUCGCUCAACGGAUAAAAGGUACUCCGGGGAUAACAGGCUGAUACCGCCCAAGAGUUCAUAUCGACGGCGGUGUUUGGCACCUCGAUGUCGGCUCAUCACAUCCUGGGGCUGAAGUAGGUCCCAAGGGUAUGGCUGUUCGCCAUUUAAAGUGGUACGCGAGCUGGGUUUAGAACGUCGUGAGACAGUUCGGUCCCUAUCUGCCGUGGGCGCUGGAGAACUGAGGGGGGCUGCUCCUAGUACGAGAGGACCGGAGUGGACGCAUCACUGGUGUUCGGGUUGUCAUGCCAAUGGCACUGCCCGGUAGCUAAAUGCGGAAGAGAUAAGUGCUGAAAGCAUCUAAGCACGAAACUUGCCCCGAGAUGAGUUCUCCCUGAGACUUUAAGUCUCCUGAAGGAACGUUGAAGACGACGACGUUGAUAGGCCGGGUGUGUAAGCGCAGCGAUGCGUUGAGCUAACCGGUACUAAUGAACCGUGAGGCUUAACCUU
This 2764-nucleotide ribosomal RNA is filed under the name Escherichia sp. KTE159. RNAcentral's name for it is "bacterial LSU rRNA". It matches the Rfam family "Bacterial large subunit ribosomal RNA". The record is from RNAcentral. Lineage: Bacteria; Pseudomonadati; Pseudomonadota; Gammaproteobacteria; Enterobacterales; Enterobacteriaceae.